GGGGGUCUGGCUCAGUGGUAGAGCGUUCGCUUCGCAUGUGAAAGGUCCGGGGUUCAAAUCCGCGCUCCUCCA
RNAcentral lists this transfer RNA (72 nucleotides) under Caerostris darwini. RNAcentral describes it as "tRNA-Ala". It matches the Rfam family "tRNA". From Rfam's summary of the family: Transfer RNA (tRNA) molecules are approximately 80 nucleotides in length. The record is from RNAcentral. Lineage: Eukaryota; Metazoa; Arthropoda; Arachnida; Araneae; Araneidae.